CUCGAUGUAGAGCCUUAUCAA
RNAcentral lists this unclassified non-coding RNA (21 nucleotides) under Mus musculus (house mouse). Its description in RNAcentral is "oocyte_clustered_small_RNA5544". Lineage: Eukaryota; Metazoa; Chordata; Mammalia; Rodentia; Muridae. The record is from RNAcentral.